RNAcentral lists this ribosomal RNA (431 nucleotides) under uncultured bacterium. RNAcentral's name for it is "bacterial SSU rRNA". It matches the Rfam family "Bacterial small subunit ribosomal RNA", at positions 355 to 786 of the family's 1533-position model. The record is from RNAcentral.
UGAGGAAUAUUGGUCAAUGGUCGGGAGACUGAACCAGCCAAGCCGCGUGAGGGAUGAAGGUGCUAAGCAUUGUAAACCUCUUUUGUCAGGGAACAAAGGCAUCCACGAGUGGGUGUGUGAGUGUACCUGAAGAAAAAGCAUCGGCUAACUCCGUGCCAGCAGCCGCGGUAAUACGGAGGAUGCGAGCGUUAUCCGGAUUUAUUGGGUUUAAAGGGUGCGUAGGCGGCCUGUUAAGUCAGCGGUAAAAGCCCGGGGCUCAACCCGGCGAGCGUUGAAACUGGCUGGCUGGAGUUGGCGAGAGGUAUGCGGAAUGCGCGGUGUAGCGGUGAAAUGCUUAGAUAUCGCGCAGAACUCCGAUUGCGAAGGCAGCAUGCCGGCGCCAUACUGACGCUGAGGCACGAAAGCGUGGGGAUCAAACAGGAUUAGAUACC